This 253-nucleotide ribosomal RNA is filed under the name uncultured bacterium. Its description in RNAcentral is "partial 16S ribosomal RNA". It matches the Rfam family "Bacterial small subunit ribosomal RNA", at positions 524 to 776 of the family's 1533-position model. The record is from RNAcentral.
UACAGAGGGGGCAAGCGUUAUUCGGAAUUAUUGGGCGUAAAGGGCGUGUAGGCGGCUACACAAGUGGCGGGUGAAAUCCCUCGGCUUAACCGAGGAACUGCCUGCCAGACUGUGUGGCUUGAGACCGGGAGAGGUGAGUGGAAUUCCCAGUGUAGCGGUGAAAUGCGUAGAUAUUGGGAGGAACACCAGUGGCGAAGGCGGCUCACUGGACCGGAACUGACGCUGAGGCGCGAAAGCGUGGGGAGCAAACAGG